Molecule: long non-coding RNA, 2351 nt
Organism: Coturnix japonica (Japanese quail)
Lineage: Eukaryota; Metazoa; Chordata; Aves; Galliformes; Phasianidae
Source: RefSeq, a predicted model, not a curated record
UGUCCGCCACGUCGCUCAGCCGUGGGUAAACAGGCGGCUGUUUCCAGGCUCCCCCCGCCGCUUUCUGCCCGCACUCAUCAGCCGCUCUGCGCCGUUUCCAGGCUCCCCGCGCGCUGAGGGAGUGAACCCGCACCCCCCCCCCACACACACAGCCCUCAAUGCGCUGAGGAGGGAACGGCCGCCGGGCCCUCUCCCACGGCCCCGCCGCCACAAAGCGCCCUUUGAGGGGGAGCGGCUCCACUCCCACCCCCCAACACCCCCCCACAGCCCCCUCCUGCCUCCAAACAUUGAAAUGAGGGGCGAAGCGGGGGGUGGCGGUGACCAAAAGCGGCGUUUUUUCAGCCCAAAAAGCAGCGCCGCGCUGAGGCAGAGCGCUGAGGGAGGGGAGCGGGUUUGGUUGGGUGUUGGUUGUAGGAUUCUUUCUUUUUAUCGUUAAAAACGCACACAAACGCCGUUUCUUUUUAUAAAGCGGGGUUUGGCUGCCGUCCUUAAAAAUGGUGGCGGAGGAAAAAUAAUAAUUAAAAAUCCGAGGAAAAUAAAACCCGCCCUUCUCCUCCCCGCCUCCUCCUCCUCAGCCGCCGCCAUUUUGUGCCGCCCCGCGCUGCGCCCCCCCCACAGCCAUCCAUUUAAUUCUAUCGCCGGGAUGGUCCGCCCCCCCCUCCCAUACAGCCCUUUGGGUUGUACGCCGUUUAAUUUACUCAAAAAAUAUAUAUAUUUCCUUUUUUUCCUUAUUUUUUUCUCCAUUUUAAUUCCAAUUUUCCCCCGUUCUUCGUUACUGACUUUUUCCCCGUUCCUUUUUUCCCCUUUUUUCCUUCUUUUUCCUUCCCCCCUCCUUUAUUAUCCUAUAAUCGCCCUUUACUCCCCUCAAUGGAAGCAGAGGGGAGCAGGCAGGACGCAGCGCUGAGCCCCCCCAGCACACAGUGCCAAAUGAUGAGUCAAACACCCGUGCUGGCGCAGGGAUGCUCUGAGCUGAACGUGAGUCCCGGGGCUGUGAUUUGUGCCUGCCAGCCCUAACCAGAACUGGGCUGCGAGGUGAGGAGAAGGCAGCGUCAGCUUUUGGAGGGCCAGAUGUGGUGUUUUAGCAGUGAAAUGCAUGGGAAAUACCCUGAACCCACACCUCGCUCUGUGGGUCUGACACAGCCUGUCCCCCAAAAAUACCCCAAAGCAAUAAGCACUGACCUGCCCACGGGGAAAGGGGCUGAACCCACAGCUGCCACCCAGCUCAGGUGUCACACAGGUGGGGAUGGAACACCCAGCAAACCAAUGUCCUCAGUGGGCAAGGCAGUGACCACGGGGGGCUGAUUGCCCUGAGCUGAGCCCAUCGUUGGUAUCCCUACAUGGCCAUGCAUUGGGCCACUGGGACCAGAAGCCAAAUUACAAGAAACCUUUGGUAAAAGCACACUGCAAAGGCAUUCCCCACACACAGGAGGUCUUAUGCUUCCCUUAUCCCUCUGGGCACCCACUAAAGCACCGCAGUGACUCACACCGGGUACCAAAAUGGUGCUAAAGCAACACCUGUCGGGGCAGAAACCACCUCACCCCAAACCCCACAGGUGCCAUGGGCUGCAGGAGGGUCCCCAUAUCCAAUGCAACCCCCCGUGGCUCUCUUAGGGCUGUUCCCCCCCCCCCACACACACACAGCCCCGCAGCUCCUCCAGCAGAGCCCCUGUGCCCAACAAAGCCUUCCAGCCAGCAGCGCCCGGCUCCUAAUUACGAUUUCCUUCAAGACGAUCCCAGCAGCCGUAGACAAAACCGUCCCCUCCGGUCGGAGCUGGAAUGCCGUGUCCUAACGACGGCUUUUGUACCGCGCCCGCUGGAGGAAAGAGCGCGGCAGGAGGGGGGGAAAGGGAGAUUUAAUUAUAGAGCCGCAUUGUGAUUUCGCACACAUAGCUGGCUGCUGUAAUCAGGUUACAAGUGUAGCUCAUUUUCCUCCCUACCCUCCCUCUUCCUCCUCUUUUUCUUUCUGGUUUUUCCCCUCUCCUUUUUUUCCUCUCGGUGGUCCGACGCGCUCCAUGAGCUCCAUGUACCUCAGAGCCGCACAGCACAUAGACCCACAGCCCCAAACCACCCCCCGGGUGAAGAGGAGGAGCCCCUUUUCCCCUCUCUUGGGGCUGGAGGAGGAAAACCAGAAAGGAAAACAGCUUUUAAACACAACUUGGUGUGUUUGCUUUUCUAUCCAGGCAAAGCUGGAGCUGCGCUCCGUUCGGGACCGCUCUGAGUUUCAUUUAGGAACCCUAUUGUUGUCCAUGUGAAUUCUUUGUUACGUUUCAAAUCACAGGAUUAUUUCCCCAGGGGGUAAUAUCCUGUAAUUUGAACACAAUAAUGAGAAUAAAUUACUUACUUAGAACUAA